RNAcentral lists this ribosomal RNA (374 nucleotides) under Acanthurus mata (elongate surgeonfish). RNAcentral's name for it is "partial 12S ribosomal RNA". It matches the Rfam family "Bacterial small subunit ribosomal RNA", at positions 801 to 1384 of the family's 1533-position model. The record is from RNAcentral. Lineage: Eukaryota; Metazoa; Chordata; Actinopteri; Acanthuriformes; Acanthuridae.
CAUUGAUGAUAUCUUACAAUUAUCAUCCGCCUGGGAACUACGAGCAUCAGCUUAAAACCCAAAGGACUUGGCGGUGCUUUAGACCCACCUAGAGGAGCCUGUUCUAGAACCGAUAACCCCCGUUCAACCUCACCCUUCCUUGUUCCUCCCGCCUAUAUACCACCGUCGUCAGCUUACCCUGUGAAGGAUUAAUAGUAAGCAAAACUGGCAAAGCCCAAAACGUCAGGUCGAGGUGUAGCGUAUGGAAGGGAAAGAAAUGGGCUACAUUCACUAAUUCAGUGCAUACGAAUGACACCCUGAAACACGUGUCUGAAGGAGGAUUUAGCAGUAAGCAGAAAAUAGAGUGUUCUACUGAAACUGGCCCUGAAGCGCGC